This 1452-nucleotide long non-coding RNA is filed under the name Lupinus mutabilis. Its description in RNAcentral is "partial ncRNA". Lineage: Eukaryota; Viridiplantae; Streptophyta; Magnoliopsida; Fabales; Fabaceae. The record is from RNAcentral.
UGCUCAACCAACAAGUCAGGUAAGUACUUGAUCUUCAACUUCUCCUUUGAUUUAGCUAAAGCAUUUACUGGUGGCUCAAGUAGGACAUCUUCGAGACCCUUUAAGGCCACUGUCUUGGCCUCGGCUGCUAAUAGCUUUCUCUUCGGUGAAGAAUCCAACAACUCAUUGGCCAUGCUAAGCUUCCUUAAUACAACAAUGAUAGAGCCAUGUUGUGGCCUUAGAUGCACAACUCUGUAAUGAGAAGGUUUUCUAAAAUUGGCUUUUGAUGGCUUCAUGCUCAAUGGAAAAGCCACAAUGCCAUUAACUUUCAGGAUGCUAUCAGCAAACUUAGCAUCCUCAAAGCUAGGUGUGAACACAAAAUCAUAUGACUCAUUUGGUAAAGAACUUAUUACCUCCAAAUCAGAGUCCUUAACCACAUCAACUUCAUUGUUCAAAUGAGCAGCACCAUCAAAUCCAUGUGGAGAGCUCAUAAUAAGAGCCUUGUCUUCCUUUUUGACAAUACCCUCUUCUUUCAAAUCAUGCAGAAUCAAAUUCAAUGCCUCAGCAUUCAUGGGCUCAAAUGCAGAACCACCAAAUCCAGAAGAAGCAAUUGAAUGUGAACUUGAAAAGAAUCCCUUAAGAAUAGACCCAGAGAAAAGUAACAUCAGAAAAACCAUAGCCGAAAACAAAAACCUUGACACAAUGCUGAAAGCACGUGCAUCAGCAAUCCGAAUCACAAAAACAGUAUCAGAAUUGAAGCCAUUCAUAUGCUUCAUCUUGCCCCAGAUCCUAGCCUUAUUAUAUUCCAUUGAUAUCAAGUUCAACUAUGCAAGACCCUUGUCAGAAACUUCGAAUAAUGUACUUAAAGAGCUUAAAUCUGCUUGAGUAAAUUGAUGGAGACCCAGAUGCAUAAAGGUGAAGAAGAUUGCAAUAAUAAGAAAUAAAAAACCAACAAUUCAAAAAGAUUGAAUCUUUAGCGGGUAGAAAAUCUAGCAGCGGUGUGGUUUCCACCCACAAGUGCUACACGGGAACUUUGAUUUCUACAAUAUAACAGCAUCAACUGCAUCAUCCUUUCUACCUCCAUUGUGAUGUUCUUUCUCAAUAAAUUAUGGCGUUUCCACUGCUUCACCCAGUUACAGCCAUGUAAAUGUGAAACUCAGGAACCAGCAAUGGAAAAAAAAUAAGAAAUGAACCCUUUGCAGAGGAGGAAGAAAGAGAGGAUUAGAUUGAUGUUGGAAGAACCAAAGUUUCCAACUUUUUGUGUUUUGUUUUUAGUUUGUGGAUGUGAAUGAGAAAUUGGAGUAUGAAGGGGAAUUUAUUUAGGAAGAGAACAAUGAUGGAGGUAAAGUAUUUGCUUUAUUUAGCAGUGUUAUGACUUAUGUUAGUAAAGAACAUGAACUUUGUUUAGUUUUUGUUAUAUUUAGGAUUCAUUAUGAGGUUGGAUCAGUUCUCAUUGAAUUCAAUGGUUGGCUG